RNAcentral lists this ribosomal RNA (172 nucleotides) under uncultured Glomeromycotina. RNAcentral describes it as "partial small subunit ribosomal RNA". It matches the Rfam family "Eukaryotic small subunit ribosomal RNA", at positions 911 to 1078 of the family's 1831-position model. The record is from RNAcentral. Lineage: Eukaryota; Fungi; Glomeromycota.
GUGAAAUUCUUUGGAUUUAUUGAAGACUAACUACUGCGAAAGCAUUUGCCAAGGAUGUUUUCAUUAAUCAAGAACGAAAGUUAGGGGAUCGAAGACGAUCAGAUACCGUCGUAGUCUUAACCAUAAACUAUGCCGACUAGGGAUCGGAUGAUGUUAAUUUUUUAAUGACUCA